CCGGCACAACGGGCACGCCACUGCGCGAGCAGGAGCAAAUCCCUUAAAGCCGGCCCCAGUUCGGAUCGGAGGCUGCAACCCGCCUCCGUGAAGUCGGAGUUGCUAGUAAUCGCGGAUCAGCACGCCGCGGUGAAUGCGUUCCCGGGCCUUGUACACACCGCCCGUCACACCACCCGAGUCGUCUGCACCCGAAGUCGCCGGCCUAACCUCGUGAGGGAGGCGCCGAAGGUGUGGAGGGUAAGGGGGGUGAAGUCGUAACAAGGUAAC
This 267-nucleotide ribosomal RNA is filed under the name uncultured bacterium. Its description in RNAcentral is "partial 16S ribosomal RNA". It matches the Rfam family "Bacterial small subunit ribosomal RNA", at positions 1234 to 1500 of the family's 1533-position model. The record is from RNAcentral.